This 69-nucleotide transfer RNA is filed under the name Acanthemblemaria sp. AC-2023. Its description in RNAcentral is "tRNA-Pro". It matches the Rfam family "tRNA". Rfam says of the family: Transfer RNA (tRNA) molecules are approximately 80 nucleotides in length. Their secondary structure includes four short double-helical elements and three loops (D, anti-codon, and T loops). The record is from RNAcentral. Lineage: Eukaryota; Metazoa; Chordata; Actinopteri; Blenniiformes; Chaenopsidae.
CAAGGGAUAGUUUAAGAAGAAUCCCGGUUUUGGGGGCCGGAGGCAAGGGUUAAACCCCCUUUCCCUUGA